RNAcentral lists this ribosomal RNA (446 nucleotides) under uncultured bacterium. Its description in RNAcentral is "partial 16S ribosomal RNA". It matches the Rfam family "Bacterial small subunit ribosomal RNA", at positions 338 to 795 of the family's 1533-position model. The record is from RNAcentral.
CCUACGGGUGGCAGCAGUCGAGAAUCAUUCACAAUGGGGGAAACCCUGAUGGUGCGACGCCGCGUGGGGGAAUGAAGGUCUUCGGAUUGUAAACCCCUGUCAUGUGGGAGCAAAUUAAAAAGAUAGUACCACAAGAGGAAGAGACGGCUAACUCUGUGACAGCAGCCGCGGUAAUACAGAGGUCUCAAGCGUUGUUCGGAAUCACUGGGCGUAAAGCGUGCGUAGGCUGUUUCGUAAGUCGUGUGUGAAGGGGGCGGGCUCAACCCGCGGACGGCACAUGAUACUGGGAGACUAGAGUAAUGGAGGGGGAACCGGAAUUCUCGGUGUAGCAGUGAAAUGCGUAGAUAUCGAGAGGAACACUCGUGGCGAAGGCAGGUUCCUGGACAUUAACUGACGCUGAGGCACGAAGGCCAGGGGAGCGAAAGGGAUUAGAUACCCUUGUAGUC